Molecule: long non-coding RNA, 560 nt
Filed under: Helianthus annuus (common sunflower)
Lineage: Eukaryota; Viridiplantae; Streptophyta; Magnoliopsida; Asterales; Asteraceae
Source: RNAcentral
AUAAGAAACGCUCAAUUUUUCGCGCUCUUGCUACGGUUAAACGAUCUUCUUCGGAUAAUUCGUCUAAUCCAAGAAUAGCUAUAAUAUCUUGAAGUUCUUUGUAACGUUGUAAAGUUUGCUUAACCUGUUGUGCAGUUUCAUAAUGUUCGUCACCAACGAUCCGGGGUUGUAGCAUAGUUGACGUUGAAUCUAAAGGAUCUACUGCUGGAUAGAUACCUUUGGCAGCCAAUCCUCUUGAUAAUACGGUCGUAGCAUCUAAAUGUGCAAAUGUCGUAGCAGGAGCAGGGUCGGUCAAAUCAUCUGCAGGUACAUAAACAGCUUGAAUAGAAGUUAUGGACCCUUCUUUGGUAGAAGUAAUUCUUUCUUGUAAAGAACCCAUUUCGGUACUAAGGGUUCUUUUUGUCAAGCGUGGCAACCCAGAACUAGAAGUAGUAGGAUUCAUUCUCAUAAUAUAAUAAUAAAGUAAAAAUAUCUAAUUUUUGCGAAAAUUCUCGCAUUCAAAAUAAAUGUCCGAUGACAAGUUGAUCGGUUAAUUCAAUAAGAAAUGGGAGUUAGCACAU